AGUGUUUCUCCGGACCUCGGCGACACCGCUGUGACGUUAGUCCAAGAUCAAAGAUAAGUGCAAGAUGGGGACGAAGGUCAGUGCACGAGUUUCUUCGUCGAACGUUCGGCUGGCUUCCGGCACGGAUAGCCCUGGCCCUUAUGGCUUGGCUGGGCUUCAUCAACCUCUACAUGACCAGAAUCAAUCUUUCCGUGAUCCUCGUGGCCAUGGUCAAGAGGAACACCUCUUCAGGUCACCUGGCGCCCUGUUUGGAAAGUCAGGAUGUAU
Macrobrachium nipponense is the source of this 267-nucleotide long non-coding RNA. RefSeq lists it as uncharacterized. The record is from RefSeq and is a predicted model, not a curated record. NCBI's taxonomy places the organism in Eukaryota, Metazoa, Arthropoda, Malacostraca, Decapoda, Palaemonidae. The transcript is spliced from 3 exons.